AAAUAACCAAUUGCUGUGUGCAUUUCAUGCCGGUGGCCUGCCUUGCCCUGCCACUUGACACCCGCUGGUCAUUCCCAUGUGAGCUGGCCGCGCGCUGUGUUGCUGCUCAGUUUGGCCACGCCGACCCGCGCGGCUAUUUUGGUAUCUUCUGGAGUCGCUAUCGGGAGCCAGGCGAAACCACUGCAUUUGAACAUGGAUCUGAGGACUUGACUGACUUUGGUGGUAUAAAGCUGGAUUGUGGGAUCGCUGGGGUCUAAAGUGGAUACUUAUACUCAGCAUGAGUGACCCAACACCAAGGAUCCGCUGGGCUGGAAGCAAACUAAAGGGUCCACAGAGCUGCAGUGACUGAAACGGUGAUGCACAAGAUC
Molecule: long non-coding RNA, 368 nt
Filed under: Betta splendens (Siamese fighting fish)
Lineage: Eukaryota; Metazoa; Chordata; Actinopteri; Anabantiformes; Osphronemidae
Description: lncRNA (ENSBSLG00000004921.1)
Source: RNAcentral